AUUCCAGAUAGAGGAAACCACGUGGGCAAAACCACAGUAAGAGAAAAUAAAUAGAACAGGUCCAAGAAUACAGAUUGUCUGGCUGGAGACCCGAGUGUGGAUUAAAAAAGCACAAAAAGUGAGGCUCUCAGUCUGCAGGAGGUCCUGUAAGUAAACAAUAGGAUCCUGUAAAGGAUGGAGUGCUUUCAAAGGAUUUCAAGCAAGAAAGAGCCUCCUGAUUGCCUCACUCCAAUCUUUAACCCAAGUGAAUCAGGGCUUCCCUGACUCAGAAUAGACACAAAUUAUCUCUAAAGUGAAACUUGGAUUUGCACUCUAUGGUGAAAUGAUGGAGCUCCAGGAACUGGAGAAGCAAGAAAUCAGAUUCCUCAUACCUGAAGUACUCUGUGCUCACGAAGGGCCAUAACCUGCCUCCCCCACUUGAAAGGAGCUGAAGUUCUGACUGAGGCCUGCGGGAGAACUGCUGCUCUCCAAGUUAGAGUACACACUUUUGGAAGAAACUGACAGAGACAUCAGGCCAAUUCUUGAGGCAACUCAGGUGUUUAUUUCUGGCAAACAGACAGAAGGAAAGUAGGAUUCCCACUGCUGAGAGUCAAGGCCCAGAAUGGGGCAGGU
Molecule: long non-coding RNA, 612 nt
Organism: Manis javanica (Malayan pangolin)
Lineage: Eukaryota; Metazoa; Chordata; Mammalia; Pholidota; Manidae
Source: RefSeq, a predicted model, not a curated record